GGUGGGGUGGCCGAGUGGUUAAUGGCAACGGACUGUAAAUCCGUCGCGCGGAAGCGCUUCGCAGGUUCGAAUCCUGCUCCCACCA
RNAcentral lists this transfer RNA (85 nucleotides) under Chloroflexota bacterium. RNAcentral's name for it is "tRNA-Tyr". It matches the Rfam family "tRNA". Rfam says of the family: Transfer RNA (tRNA) molecules are approximately 80 nucleotides in length. Their secondary structure includes four short double-helical elements and three loops (D, anti-codon, and T loops). The record is from RNAcentral. Lineage: Bacteria; Bacillati; Chloroflexota.